GUGAGAAACAAAGACCGAAUGAUUGAAGGAAAAAAAAAAAAAAGUAGAGGCCAUGGACGAGAGUCCGACUGCCACUGCUCACCAUCCACCACCUUCAGAUAAUCUGCCACUGUCACCGAUGAUAAUAUUUUUUAGUAUUUGAGAAGCUGUUUAAUUAUUUAUUUGCUGUGCUUUUUUGAAUUGAUUUCUCAGAUUCAGAUGUCUCGUUUUAUUUUGGUUUUGAUAAUUUAAUUUCGAUUUGAAUUUUAGGGUUUCGGAAAAAGAAUACUGGAGGAGCAUCCAGAUUUUUGCUACGCUUUUUGAAUUUUUUCUAUACAUGAUUUUGAGGAAGAAAGGUUUGUGGAGGAUUUUGGCAACUUGUGCAUAUCUCAAUCUAGUUCAUUUGUUGAUGAGGAUUAGAAUACUAUCAGAAUUCUCUAUGUAACAAGAAAAAUAAAAAAGCAUAUGCUUAUAAAAACAAAGUUAUUGAUAAUUGGAGGACAUUAAGAUCUUGUUGUGUGGGAAGGAUAGAGCUUAUGGAGUUGCUGCAAAAUAUAUGGAUGAUGCAAUUGAAGUUAUGACUGAGGAAGGAGAAAAUUAAAGUGAUGAAUUCUCCUAUUGCACAACAACACGUCAACAUUCGGUAUCAAUAAAUUAUGCAAUUAAGCAUUGCCAAAGAAAAAAGAGUACAAAAGAUCCACUUUGAAACAAUUUUUUAGUUUGAGAUUUUGAAUGUUGUUAAAAAAAACCCAUGUAUUUUGGGUAACUCUCUCUUUCUCUCAAAUAUUUUAGUUGGAAAGAGUUGGCAAGACAUUUUUUUAGUUGGCUAUGAUGGAAGAUAUUUAGUCAUUAACUUGUCAA
This is a long non-coding RNA of Quercus robur (English oak), 840 nucleotides long. RefSeq lists it as uncharacterized. The record is from RefSeq and is a predicted model, not a curated record. The transcript is spliced from 4 exons. NCBI's taxonomy places the organism in Eukaryota, Viridiplantae, Streptophyta, Magnoliopsida, Fagales, Fagaceae.